RNAcentral lists this non-coding RNA (77 nucleotides) under Acanthisitta chloris (rifleman). The record is from RNAcentral. Lineage: Eukaryota; Metazoa; Chordata; Aves; Passeriformes; Acanthisittidae.
AUUGGCUGUUAGCUGCUGCUCUUGAGCUCCAGAAAGAGCAACACUGCUUAGGUCCUGCAGUACUGGCCUACAGGUGU